This 492-nucleotide ribosomal RNA is filed under the name uncultured bacterium. RNAcentral's name for it is "partial 16S ribosomal RNA". It matches the Rfam family "Bacterial small subunit ribosomal RNA", at positions 29 to 507 of the family's 1533-position model. The record is from RNAcentral.
AGUGAACGCUGGCGGUAGGCCUAACACAUGCAAGUCGAACGGCAGCACAGUAAGAGCUUGCUCUUACGGGUGGCGAGUGGCGGGCGGGUGAGGAAUACAUCGGAAUCUACUUUUUCGUGGGGGAUAACGUAGGGGAACUUACGCUAAUACCGCAUACGACCUACGGGUGAGAGCAUGGGAACUUCGGACCUUGCGCGAUUGAAUGAGCCGAUGUCGGAUUAGCUAGUUGGCGGGGUAAAGGCCCACCAAGGCGACGAUCCGUAGCUGGUCUGAGAGGAUGAUCAGCCACACUGGAACUGAGACACGGUCCAGACUCCUACGGGAGGCAGCAGUGGGGAAUAUUGGACAAUGGGCGCAAGCCUGAUCCAGCCAUCCCGCGUGUGUGAAGAAGGCCUUCGGGUUGUAAAGCCCUUUUGUUGGGAAAGAAAAGCAGCAGGUUAAUACCCCGCUGUUCUGACGGUACCCAAAGAAUAAGCACCGGCUAACUUCGUG